GUAGCGAAGUGGUUAAACGCUGCGGACUGUAAAUCCGCCACCUUUUGGUUUCGGGGGUUCGAAUCCCUCCCGUCCCA
RNAcentral lists this transfer RNA (77 nucleotides) under Limosilactobacillus reuteri. Its description in RNAcentral is "tRNA-Tyr". It matches the Rfam family "tRNA". Rfam says of the family: Transfer RNA (tRNA) molecules are approximately 80 nucleotides in length. Their secondary structure includes four short double-helical elements and three loops (D, anti-codon, and T loops). The record is from RNAcentral. Lineage: Bacteria; Bacillati; Bacillota; Bacilli; Lactobacillales; Lactobacillaceae.